RNAcentral lists this ribosomal RNA (916 nucleotides) under uncultured Bacteroidota bacterium. RNAcentral describes it as "bacterial SSU rRNA". It matches the Rfam family "Bacterial small subunit ribosomal RNA", at positions 11 to 917 of the family's 1533-position model. Lineage: Bacteria; Pseudomonadati; Bacteroidota. The record is from RNAcentral.
CUUUGAUUAUGGCUCAGGACGAACGCUAGCUACAGGCUUAACACAUGCAAGUCGAGGGGAAACGACAUCGAAAGCUUGCUUUUGAUGGGCGUCGACCGGCGCACGGGUGAGUAACGCGUAUCCAACCUGCCCAUCACUUGGGAAUAACCUUGCGAAGGUAAGACUAAUGCCCAAUGACAUCCCACGAAGACAUCUGAAUGGGAUUAAAGAUUUAUCGGUGAUGGAUGGGGAUGCGUCUGAUUAGCUUGUUGGCGGGGUAACGGCCCACCAAGGCAACGAUCAGUAGGGGUUCUGAGAGGAAGGUCCCCCACAUUGGAACUGAGACACGGUCCAAACUCCUACGGGAGGCAGCAGUGAGGAAUAUUGGUCAAUGGGCGAGAGCCUGAACCAGCCAAGUAGCGUGCAGGAUGACGGCCCUAUGGGUUGUAAACUGCUUUUAUAAGGGAAUAAAGUGAGUCUCGUGAGACUUUUUGCAUGUACCUUAUGAAUAAGGACCGGCUAAUUCCGUGCCAGCAGCCGCGGUAAUACGGAAGGUCCGGGCGUUAUCCGGAUUUAUUGGGUUUAAAGGGAGCGUAGGCCGGAGAUUAAGCGUGUUGUGAAAUGUAGAGGCUCAACCUCUGCGCUGCAGCGCGAACUGGUCUUCUUGAGUACGCACAACGUGGGCGGAAUUCGUGGUGUAGCGGUGAAAUGCUUAGAUAUCACGAAGAACUCCGAUUGCGAAGGCAGCUCACGGGAGCGCAACUGACGCUGAAGCUCGAAAGUGCGGGUAUCGAACAGGAUUAGAUACCCUGGUAGUCCGCACGGUAAACGAUGGGUGCCCGCUGUUGGCCUGAAUAGGUCAGCGGCCAAGCGAAAGCAUUAAGCAUCCCACCUGGGGAGUACGCCGGCAACGGUGCAACUCAAAGGAAUUGACGGA